RNAcentral lists this ribosomal RNA (599 nucleotides) under uncultured bacterium. RNAcentral's name for it is "bacterial SSU rRNA". It matches the Rfam family "Bacterial small subunit ribosomal RNA", at positions 793 to 1394 of the family's 1533-position model. The record is from RNAcentral.
GUCCACGCCGUAAACGGUGGGCGCUAGGUGUGGGGGACUUCCACGUUCUCUGUGCCGCAGCUAACGCAUUAAGCGCCCCGCCUGGGGAGUACGGCCGCAAGGCUAAAACUCAAAGGAAUUGACGGGGGCCCGCACAAGCGGCGGAGCAUGCUGAUUAAUUCGAUGCAACGCGAAGAACCUUACCAAGGCUUGACAUACACCGGAAACUUCCAGAAAUGGUUGCCCCGCAAGGUCGGUGUACAGGUGGUGCAUGGUUGUCGUCAGCUCGUGUCGUGAGAUGUUGGGUUAAGUCCCGCAACGAGCGCAACCCUCGUCUUAUGUUGCCAGCACGUCAUGGUGGGGACUCAUAAGAGACUGCCGGGGUCAACUCGGAGGAAGGUGGGGAUGAGGUCAAAUCAUCAUGCCCCUUAUGUCUUGGGCUUCAAGCAUGCUACAAUGGCCGGUACAAAGGGCUGCGAUACCGCGAGGUGGAGCGAAUCCCAAAAAGCCGGUCUCAGUUCGGAUUGGGGUCUGCAACUCGACCCCAUGAAGUCGGAGUCGCUAGUAAUCGCAGAUCAGCAACGCUGCGGUGAUACGUUCCCGGGCCUGUACUCACCGCC